This 2798-nucleotide ribosomal RNA is filed under the name human gut metagenome. RNAcentral's name for it is "bacterial LSU rRNA". It matches the Rfam family "Bacterial large subunit ribosomal RNA", at positions 1 to 2573 of the family's 2925-position model. The record is from RNAcentral.
UGCCGCUUGCGAGGGCGUAUGGUGGAUGCCUUGGCAGACAGUACCGAUGAAGGACGUUUGAGGAUGCGAUAAUCCUAGGGGAGCCUCCAACAUGGCUUUGAUCCUAGGGUCUCCGAAUGGGGGAACCCGCCGGCCGUCAUGGGCCGGCACCGCCUAUGGGCGGGGGGUACGCAGGGAAGUGAAACAUCUCAGUACCUGCAGGAAGGGAUACUCCGUGAGUAGUGGCGAGCGAAAGCGGAUCAGACCAAACCGGUUGCGCGUGAUACCCGUCGGGGGUUGCGUUGCCGGUGUUGUGGGAUCACGUGUCCCGGUUCCGACGGGCCGGGCGGGAGUCAUAAAACGGCUUGCCAGGGGAACAGGCUUGAAGGCCUGGCCGUAGAGGGUGCCAGCCCCGUACCUGGACGUGAGCCGUCUUCCGAUCGUGUUGUCCCAAGUAGCGCGGGCCUCGUGGAAUCCCGCGUGAAUCAGCCCAGACCGUUGGGUAAGUCUAAGCAUACCUGUCUGACCGAUAGCGUACCAGUACGCGGGCCUCGUGGAAUCCCGUGUGAAUCCGCCCCGACCGUGGGGUAAGUCUAAGCAUACCUGUCUGACCGAUAGCGUACCAGUACCGUGAGGGAAAGGUGAAAAGCACCCCGGGAGGGGAGUGAAAGAGUUCCUGAAACCGUGCGCCUACAAUCCGUCGGAGCCUUCUUUGUGGGGUGACGGCGUGCCUAUCGAAAAAUGAGUCUGCGAGUCAGUGGUGCGUGGCGAGGCUAACCCGUCGUGGGGGAGCCGUAGCGAAGGCGAGUCUCAAAAGGCGUUUUGAGUCGCGUGCCCUGGACCCGAAGCGGGAUGAUCUAGCCCUGGGCAGGUUGAAGCGCGGGUAAGACCGCGUGGAGGACCGAACCCACCUGGGUUGAAAACCGGGGGGAUGACCUGGGGCUAGGGGUGAAAGGCCAAUCAAAUUCCGUGAUAGCUGGUUCUCUCCGAAAUGCAUUUAGGUGCAGCGUCGGUUGAUUGCGUCGCGGGGGUAGAGCUACCGGAUGCUUGCGGGCCCUUGUUGGGUACCAACAGCAGCCGAACUCCGAAUACCGUUGACGUGUAUUCCGGCAGUGAGUCGGCGGGGGAUAAGCUCCGUCGUCGAGAGGGAGACAGCCCAGACCGUCGUCUAAGGUCCCGAAGCGUGUGCUAAGUGGGAAAGGAUGUGGAGUCGCAUAGACAGCCAGGAGGUUGGCUCAGAAGCAGCCAUCCUUGAAAGAGUGCGUAACAGCUCACUGGUCUAGUGGUUCCGCGCCGACAAUGUAGCGGGGCUCAAGCACACCACCGAAGACGCGGCAACAGUUUUUGCUGUUGGGUAGGAGAGCGUCCCGCGUGGGGCGAAGCGGCCGUGGAAACGUGCCGUGGACCGCGCGGGAGCGAGAAUGCAGACAUGAGUAGCGAGAGACGGGUGAGGAUCCCGUCCGCUGGAUGACCAAGGGUUCCGGGGCCACGUUCGUCGUCCCCGGGUGAGUCGGGUCCUAAGGCGAGGCCGACAGGCGUAGUCGAAUGGAUGAACGGGUGGAUAUUCCCGUACCGACCAUGGACCGGCAAAACCGAGACGGUGAGUACUAACCUCCGCCUCGUGGUGGUUCCUUCCUUCGGGUUGGUUCCGUCGCGUGGUGUUGGGAGCGUAGCCGCAGUAGGUCAGCGCAGGGGUGACACGGAAUGGGAGCCGGCCGCGGAGGUGGUUUUCCGUGGUCAAGCACGCAGCCAGUCAUGUAGGCAAAUCCGCAUGGCGUGCAUGGCGAGGUGUGAUGAUGGGAGCCGUUAUGGUUCGAUAUCCGGUUGUCCAGGCCGUCGAGAAAAGCCUCGGCGUGAGGGCCAUGGCCGCCCGUACCCCAAACCGACACUGGUGGUCAGGUAGAGAAUACCAAGGCGAUCGAGCGAAUCCUGGUCAAGGAACUCGGCAAAUCACUCCCGUGCCUUCGGUAUAAGGGAGACCCCCGGACGUGAAGAGGCUUGCCCUCGGAGCGUCGGGGGGUGGCACAGACCAGGGGGUAGCGACUGUUUACCAAAAACACAGGUGCAUGCGAAGGCGAAAGCCGCUGUAUAUGCACUGACGCCUGCCCGGUGCCGGAAGGUUAAGAGGAUCCGUCAGCCCUCGGGUGAAGCGGUGAAUUCAAGCCCCGGUAAACGGCGGUGGUAACUAUAACCAUCCUAAGGUAGCGAAAUUCCUUGUCGGGUAAGUUCCGACCUGCACGAAUGGCGUAACGACUUCCCCACUGUCUCGACCAGGAGCUCGGCGAAAUUGCAGUACGAGUAAAGAUGCUCGUUAAGCGCAGAAGGACGAAAAGACCCCGGGACCUUUACUAUACCUUGGUAUUGGCGUUAGGCGCGGAUUGUGUAGCAUAGGCGGGAGGCUUUGAAACGGUGGCGCCAGCCAUCGUGGAGCCGCAAGGUGAAAUACCGCUCUGUUCUCGUUUGACGUCUAACCUCGACAAGUCAUCCUUGUCAGGGACAGUGCCUGGCGGGUAGUUCAACUGGGGCGGUUGCCUCCCAAAGAGUAACGGAGGCGCUCAAAGGUCCGCUCAGCCCGGUUGGCAAUCGGGUUUCGAGUGUAAUCGCACAAGCGGGCUUGACUGCGAGAGCGACGGUUCGAGCAGGGACGAAAGUCGGAGAUAGUGAUCCGGUGCCGGCGCACGGGCGCGGCAUCGCUCAACGGAUAAAAGGUACCCCGGGGAUAACAGGCUGAUCAUUCCCAAGAGUCCAUAUCGACGGGAUGGUUUGGCACCUCGAUGUCGGCUCGUCGCAUCCUGGGGCUGGAGCAGGUCCCAAGGGUU